AAAGCUGAGCCCAUGCUGGGCCCCCAGGAUGGUCAAAGCUCACAGCCAGGUCACAGGAUUGCUGUAGUGAUGGACAAGUCUACCCUCCAGAGCCCGCGAGAGGCAGCGAGCCUUCGGCGGACUUCCUGGAAGGAGGCUUCUCUCCGCUGGACGUGAAGAUGAAGAAACUGAGGUCUAUAGGAGAUAUGAGAUUUACCCAACAUCACAAGACAGAAACAUUUUCAUGCCUUUGCAACUAGCUGAACUGAAGUAGACACUCAAUGAACAGCUGUGAACAAAUGAAGGGCUGAAUGAACUAGAAGAUCCUCCCUGAACUUCCAUUCUCAUAGCCUACUGGUUAUUCAGCGCCCCCACUUGGCUGUGUAAUCGGCAUCCCACACUGAGUGUGCCCAAACUUGACUCCCAGUUGUCCCCUCCAGACCUGACCCUGGACAACCUUCUCCCAUCUCCAUUAAAGACAGCUCAAUCCUUCCUGUCACUCAGGGCAGAAA
Long non-coding RNA from Neofelis nebulosa (Clouded leopard), 491 nucleotides. RefSeq lists it as uncharacterized. The transcript is spliced from 3 exons. The record is from RefSeq and is a predicted model, not a curated record. NCBI's taxonomy places the organism in Eukaryota, Metazoa, Chordata, Mammalia, Carnivora, Felidae.